Molecule: ribosomal RNA, 253 nt
Filed under: uncultured bacterium
Lineage: Bacteria
Description: partial 16S ribosomal RNA
Rfam family: Bacterial small subunit ribosomal RNA
Source: RNAcentral
UACGUAGGGUGCAAGCGUUAAUCGGAAUUACUGGGCGUAAAGCGUGCGCAGGCGGUGAUGUAAGACAGGUGUGAAAUCCCCGGGCUUAACCUGGAAACUGCAUUUGUGACUGCAUCGCUGGAGUGCGGCAGAGGGGGAUGGAAUUCCGCGUGUAGCAGUGAAAUGCGUAGAUAUGCGGAGGAACACCGAUGGCGAAGGCAAUCCCCUGGGCCUGCACUGACGCUCAUGCACGAAAGCGUGGGGAGCAAACAGG